GUUUUGAUAACUCUCCCCCCAGUAUAUACAAGCUGUGUUGCUGUGUAAUGCAGUCAUACCUUUGGCUGCUUAAUUGGUGGCUUUAUAUGCUCAAAACUUACUUUUGUCCGCAGUCAGGAACAGUCAGAGGCGUGAACAGAGGUCUGGGAACACCUGUUCUUAGGUUGUGUGUGGUAUUCCUGCUCAGUUCCAUUGAAGUAAAUAGACCCAAGCUGUAAUACUACACACAACCUAAGGACAGGUGUGGUGAUGUUUUAAGAAGAAAUGAAAGGGGUACUCCAUCCCUAGAUAUCCUAUCCCCUAUCCAAAGGAUCAGCACCCUUGAAUAUUCAAAUUCACCCAGCGGGCCCACCUCCUGUGCGCAAGUCACCAAACAAAAAAAAGAGGACCUUCAGAGGGGUGUCCCAGGCUCCGGGUUGCAGGACAACAAUUGAUGAGAGAACAGCAUCUCCGAUCACAGGUCCACAUUAUAGACCCAGUGUCCAAAUGACAAGUAAACCUGCCAGCUUGCCAAGGAUUCUCUAAAGCAUUACAGCUGAUCACUAGAAGUUAUCUCAGAUCCAGGUCUUAGCUAUAUAAUACAGUCAGUACCAGCAAACGAUGGAGUGGGUGCAGCCUACUGCAUAGACAGCAGCUGAUCGCACAAAAGGAAAACAGAUAAAACCAGAGACAAGUACAAGCCAAGCCUGUCCACCUGAAGCCUAGGACGGCAUAUGUCAUGACCCAUAGCCAAGCUGCUGAACAAGCUACUGUGUAUGCUCAUUGUGCUUUCCAGGGCUUCUCCCCUGUUUAUUUUUCCAUCUAGUUACCUGCUGAUUAUUAAGAGGAGGGGAGGAGGGUAAAGAGGCACCACGUGCAUGUGCAAAACAUUUACUCAUGGAAAAUGAACUCUGCAAAAUACCUUCUGUACUGAGAAUCGGAUUAACUCCUUAGAAUCAAGAGAUACGCACACAAUGCAUAUCCCCUGAGAACAUAGAAAA
Hyla sarda is the source of this 980-nucleotide long non-coding RNA. RefSeq lists it as uncharacterized. The record is from RefSeq and is a predicted model, not a curated record. Lineage: Eukaryota; Metazoa; Chordata; Amphibia; Anura; Hylidae. The transcript is spliced from 4 exons.